UUCUUUGAAUAUCUUUUGGGUAUCGUUUAUUUUGCUUGUAAUAAAUGAUUUAAUAGGGAAUCGUGUGAGAAUCACGAGCUGUCGCGCAACUGUAAGCACCCUGAAGUUUUUAUCAAAUGAAUCCACUGUUUCGCAUAAAAUGAAAUGGGAAGGAAGAUAAAAAUGGUGUAAGUCAGGAGACCUGCCUAAAAAGAUUAUGACAU
RNAcentral lists this non-coding RNA (203 nucleotides) under Salinivirga cyanobacteriivorans. Lineage: Bacteria; Pseudomonadati; Bacteroidota; Bacteroidia; Bacteroidales; Salinivirgaceae. The record is from RNAcentral.